AGUUCAACUUAAAAACAUAAGGCUGCAGGUGUGGCUGCCGUGUAACAUGUCCGUCAGUAGCUGGCAGAGAGAAGAGAGACUAUGUGUGCGCUGUUCUGACACUGUGAACAUCUGAUUGAUUAGUACAGCCUUAAUGU
Mastomys coucha (southern multimammate mouse) is the source of this 137-nucleotide small nucleolar RNA. RefSeq annotates it as small nucleolar RNA SNORA17. The record is from RefSeq and is a predicted model, not a curated record. Lineage: Eukaryota; Metazoa; Chordata; Mammalia; Rodentia; Muridae. The transcript has a single exon.